UACGGAGGGUGCAAGCGUUAUCCGGAUUCACUGGGUUUAAAGGGUGCGUAGGUUGAUAGGUAAGUCAGUGGUGAAAUACUCCGACUCAAUCGGAGAACUGCCGUUGAUACUAUCUAUCUUGAAUACGGUGGAGGCGGGCGGAAUGCGUCAUGUAGUGGUGAAAUACUUAGAUAUGACGCAGAACACCCAUUGCGAAGGCAGCUCGCUACACCGGCAUUGACACUGAGGCACGAAAGCGUGGGGAUCAAACAGGAUUAGAUACCCUGGUAGUCCACGCCCUAAACGAUGUUCACUCGAUCUCGGCGAUACACAGUCGGGGUCUAUGCAAAAGCAUUAAGUGAACCACCUGGGGAGUACGAUCGCAAGAUUGAA
RNAcentral lists this ribosomal RNA (372 nucleotides) under uncultured bacterium. RNAcentral describes it as "bacterial SSU rRNA". It matches the Rfam family "Bacterial small subunit ribosomal RNA", at positions 524 to 898 of the family's 1533-position model. The record is from RNAcentral.